CUCUGGGUGGUGCAGAUGGUUAGUGCGCUCAGCUGCUAACUGAAAAGUUGGAGGUUCAAGUCCACCCACAGAUG
This 74-nucleotide transfer RNA is filed under the name Loxodonta africana (African savanna elephant). It matches the Rfam family "tRNA". Rfam says of the family: Transfer RNA (tRNA) molecules are approximately 80 nucleotides in length. Their secondary structure includes four short double-helical elements and three loops (D, anti-codon, and T loops). The record is from Rfam by way of RNAcentral. Lineage: Eukaryota; Metazoa; Chordata; Mammalia; Proboscidea; Elephantidae.